CCUACGGGAGGCAGCAGUAGGGAAUAUUGCUCAAUGGGGGAAACCCUGAAGCAGCAACGCCGCGUGGAGGAUGAAGGUUUUCGGAUCGUAAACUCCUUUUGUUAGAGAAGAUAAUGACGGUAUCUAACGAAUAAGCACCGGCUAACUCCGUGCCAGCAGCCGCGGUACUACGGAGGGUGCAAGCGUUACUCGGACUCACUGGGCGUAAAGAGCGCGUAGGCGGGAUAGCAAGUCAGAUGUGAAAUCCUAUGGCUUAACCAUAGAACUGCAUUUGAAACUGUUAUUCUAGAGUAUGGGAGAGGGAGGUGGAAGUCUUGGUGUAGGGGUAAAAUCCGUAGAGAUCAAGAGGAAUACUCAUUGCGAAGGCGACCUGCUAGAACAUAACUGACGCUGAUGCGCGAAAGCGUGGGGAGCAAACAGGAUUAGAUACCCUAGUAGUC
Molecule: ribosomal RNA, 440 nt
Filed under: uncultured bacterium
Lineage: Bacteria
Description: partial 16S ribosomal RNA
Rfam family: Bacterial small subunit ribosomal RNA
Source: RNAcentral